UGCCUAGGCGCCAGGAGCCGACGAAGGACGUGGCGAACAACGAUAAGGCCUCGGGGAGCUGUAAGCAAGCUUUGAUCCGGGGAUGUCCGAAUGGGGAAACCCGGCUGUCUUCAUCGACAGUCACUUUCUGCUGAAUACAUAGGCAGAAUAGAGGCAGACCAGGGGAACUGAAACAUCUAAGUACCCUGAGGAAGAGAAAACAAUAGUGAUUCCGUCAGUAGCGGCGAGCGAACGCGGAUUAGCCCAAACCAAGGAGCUUGCUCCUUGGGGUUGUGGGACGUCUCACAUGGAGUUACAAAGGAACCGGUUAGAUGAAGAGGUCUGGAAAGGCCCGCCAGAGAAGGUAAAAGCCCUGUAGUUCAAAACUUGUUCUCUCCGAGACGGAUCCCGAGUAGUGCGGGGCACGUGAAACCCCGUAUGAAUCCGGCAGGACCAUCUGCCAAGGCUAAAUACUCCCUGGCGACCGAUAGUGAAGCAGUACCGUGAGGGAAAGGUGAAAAGCACCCCGGAAGGGGAGUGAAAUAGAUCCUGAAACCGUGUGCUUACAAGAAGUCAGAGCCCGAUCUAUGGGUGAUGGCGUGCCUUUUGUAGAAUGAACCGGCGAGUUACGUUCCCGUGCAAGGUUAAGGUGAAGAGCUGAAGCCGCAGCGAAAGCGAGUCUGAAUAGGGCGAAUGAGUACGUGGACGUAGACCCGAAACCGGGUGAUCUACCCCUGUCCAGGGUGAAGGUGCGGUAACACGCACUGGAGGCCCGAACCCACGCAUGUUGAAAAAUGCGGGGAUGAGGUGGGGGUAGCGGAGAAAUUCCAAUCGAACCCGGAGAUAGCUGGUUCUCCCCGAAAUAGCUUUAGGGCUAGCCUCGGAAAAUAGAAUCGUGGAGGUAGAGCACUGAUUGGGUGCGGGGCCCGCAAGGGUUACCAAGCUCAGUCAAACUCCGAAUGCCAUAGAUUUAGUUCCGGGAGUCAGACAGUGAGUGCUAAGAUCCAUUGUCGAAAGGGAAACAGCCCAGACCAUCAGCUAAGGUCCCCAAGUGUGUGUUAAGUGGGAAAGGAUGUGGAGUUGCACAGACAACCAGGAUGUUGGCUUAGAAGCAGCCACCAUUGAAAGAGUGCGUAAUAGCUCACUGGUCGAGUGACUCUGCGCCGAAAAUGUAACGGGGCUAAACACACCACCGAAGCUAUGGCUUGAUGCUUGCAUCAGGGGUAGGGGAGCGUUGAAUGCGGGUUGAAGGUGUACCGUAAGGAGCGCUGGACUGCAUUCAAGUGAGAAUGCCGGUAUGAGUAACGAAAAGAUCUGUGAGAAUCAGAUCCGCCGAAAGCCUAAGGGUUCCUGAGGAAGGUUCGUCCGCUCAGGGUAAGUCGGGACCUAAGGCGAGGCCGAUAGGCGUAGUCGAAGGACAACAGGUCGAAAUUCCUGUACCACCGUAAUCCGUUAUGAGCGAUGGGGUGACGCAGUAGGGUAGUGACGCGGACUGAUGGAUGUCCGUCUAAGCAGUGAGGCUGGUGUGUAGGCAAAUCCGCACAUCGUUAAGGCUGGGCUGUGAUGGGGAGCGAAAAUUGUAGUAG
RNAcentral lists this ribosomal RNA (1565 nucleotides) under Paenibacillus peoriae. RNAcentral describes it as "bacterial LSU rRNA". It matches the Rfam family "Bacterial large subunit ribosomal RNA", at positions 29 to 1588 of the family's 2925-position model. The record is from RNAcentral. Lineage: Bacteria; Bacillati; Bacillota; Bacilli; Caryophanales; Paenibacillaceae.